This 502-nucleotide ribosomal RNA is filed under the name uncultured Desulfobulbus sp. RNAcentral's name for it is "bacterial SSU rRNA". It matches the Rfam family "Bacterial small subunit ribosomal RNA", at positions 887 to 1382 of the family's 1533-position model. Lineage: Bacteria; Pseudomonadati; Thermodesulfobacteriota; Desulfobulbia; Desulfobulbales; Desulfobulbaceae. The record is from RNAcentral.
GCCCGCUCAGAAACUUAAAGGAAGUUGACGGGGCCCGGCACAAGCGGUGGAGUAUGUGGUUUAAUUCGAUGCAACGCGAAGAACCUUACCUGGUCUUGACAUCCCGGAGACCCUUAGGAAACUAGGGGGUGCUUCCAUCUGGAAGAAUCUGGAGACAGGUGCUGCAUGGCUGUCGUCAGCUCGUGUCGUGAGAUGUUGGGUUAAGUCCCGCAACGAGCGCAACCCUUGCCUUUAGUUGCCAGCAGUUCGGCUGGGCACUCUAAAGGGACUGCCGGUGUUAAACCGGAGGAAGGUGGGGAUGACGUCAAGUCCUCAUGGCCUUUAUGACCAGGGCUACACACGUACUACAAUGGCCGAUACAAAGGGCAGCGACACUGCGAGGUGAAGCCAAUCCCGUAAAAUCGGUCUCAGUCCGGAUUGGAGUCUGCAACUCGACUCCAUGAAGUUGGAAUCGCUAGUAAUCGUGAAUCAGAAUGUCACGGUGAAUACGUUCCCGGGCCUU